UGGAAAGCACGUGGUCUUUAACUCAGA
RNAcentral lists this non-coding RNA (27 nucleotides) under Cricetulus griseus (Chinese hamster). The record is from RNAcentral. Lineage: Eukaryota; Metazoa; Chordata; Mammalia; Rodentia; Cricetidae.